UUUCACUGCUGACGUUGGAGUGUGCAUGAUCAAGCCUUGACAUGAUUUAUUUUCUAUUUUAUCAGCCCCUCUGAGCCUGCUUCAAAGCCACUCCCCCAGAUGUGUUUCCUGUGUCUCCUCUGAGCCCUCAGUGCCAAAAUUUGACAUCAUCACUCCAGGCAGCCUGAGGAUCAUCAGAGACUUUGAACACUUGCUGAAAGGAGGCAAAAAGCCAAGUGGCAGGAUAUCUGCUGAGAAAGCUGAGAAGAUGACAGUCUCGCAGGAGAAGAGGGAAGGCAGCAGGGCUCAUUUGCACAGCUCUGAAUGAUUAACUAUGAAAAUUCUUAAGUCAAAGAAGAUUCCAGGUUGUGCAGCCCCUCCUGUGCUGUGUUGGAUCCGUGGCUGUGGAGGUUCUAACAAAGAAAAGAGAAAAUGAUACUCCUUUUCUAAUUAAAGAAGUAAUUUUCCUUUGCAAAUAGACUUUUUAUCUCAGCUGCAGUGUUAAGGAUCAAUGGGUUGUCACAUGUAUGUCUUUUUAAUAAAUGUCAGCUGAGAUGACAUUAAAGUGAUAGACUGAUCACUGUAAUCAAUGCAAUUCAAAAUUGCUUUAUGUCUUAAAUGAACUCGGUUCCUUCCCGUGAUUCUCCUACAGUUAUCAUUGUCUGAGCAGUGAAGUACAAGGUUACAUCUCAGUUUGGAGUAAAACUGAGCACGGUAUGGGAUUCACAUUUUUACAUGCAGGUUUUGCAGUUUAACCCCUGGGUUCCUGCAAUUCAGGGGACCUUGCUAGAGAGUCUUUCUGAAAAGGGAAAAAAAAAAAAAAAGAAAAAAAAAAAAAAAGAGAGAGAGAGAGAGAAAGAGAGAGAGGGAGAGAGAAGAAACAACGAAAGUAGAAGGGAAUAUUGUGGCAUUUCCCCUUUCAUCCCCUGCACUGCCAUCUCCAUAAACGAGUGAGGCCAAGGCUCACUGAGAUUUUUCUUUUCCCUGUCUUGGUUGAGCCUGGCCACUCCAAACCCAGCAUGGCUGAGCUCAGGCACACUCAGAGCUGCAGUCUGAGCAGGGUUCCACUGCAGAGCAGUGCCUGCGUGUGCCUCUGCUGUGCUCUGCCUGUGCUGCCACACCUGGGCUCAUCCCUGCUCUUUGUGGUGCUCCUCAUCCCCAGCUCCCAGAGAAUCCAGGGCUGGAGCAGCUGGAGAUGGCAGAGGAGAGCAAACCCCAGGGAACAGCCUGAUUCCCAACCCAAGGAAUCCUUCCCUACUAUUAUUCUCACAGCCUAAUCAGUGUCUUUAAAAUCUGUUUAUGCAGAACACUUCAAAACUCUUUUCUUGUUCUGGAUUUAUUUUUUCAAACCCCCAGAGGUUCUGUAAAAACUCUCAGAAUCCUUGUAAACCUUUUUAUUUCUCUUAAAGCUGGCAGACUGACAGGCUUUAGUUAUGCUUAGUGUUAAAUUAUUUAUCUUCCUUUUCCCUCCUAGCCCUGACUUCUGAAUCUUUAACUUGACUCUUGGGACAUGUGGGGUGGGUUUUUUGGUGGGUUAGUUUUUUUUCCCCUACUUUAAAGUGAAGCCAUUUUUAUCUUUUGUCUGUUGUGUUUUACCAUAAAAAAUGUACAUGUAAAAUUUGAAUGUGUAAGUAUGUUUAAGAUGUGGUAUCUGAUUUUUUGUAAUUGUAAUAUGAAGUGUAAUAAGAUAAGUAGGACAUAUAAACCAUUUUAUGUUUACUUGUGUAUGAUUCUUACCACCUGCAUUUAAUAGUGAAUCUCAAAUUGAUUUAUUGUUUUUUUAAAUGCCAUUCUUACACAAUAUCAUAUUCUAUAUAAAACAAUCCUGAGGCUCUCCUUUCUAGAAUCAAAUUCUUUCAAA
This is a long non-coding RNA of Passer domesticus (house sparrow), 1840 nucleotides long. RefSeq lists it as uncharacterized. The transcript has 3 exons. NCBI's taxonomy places the organism in Eukaryota, Metazoa, Chordata, Aves, Passeriformes, Passeridae. The record is from RefSeq and is a predicted model, not a curated record.